GCGCCCGUAGCUCAAUUGGACAGAGUGCUUGGUUACGGCCCAAGAGGUUGCGGGUUCGACUCCUACCGGGCGCG
Molecule: transfer RNA, 74 nt
Filed under: Metamycoplasma arthritidis 158L3-1
Lineage: Bacteria; Bacillati; Mycoplasmatota; Mycoplasmoidales; Metamycoplasmataceae
Description: Mycoplasma arthritidis 158L3-1 tRNA
Rfam family: tRNA
About the family: Transfer RNA (tRNA) molecules are approximately 80 nucleotides in length. Their secondary structure includes four short double-helical elements and three loops (D, anti-codon, and T loops).
Source: Rfam by way of RNAcentral